GACGAACGCUGGCGGCGUGCUUAACACAUGCAAGUCGAACGGAAAGGCCCUGCUCUUGUUGGGUGCUCGAGUGGCGAACGGGUGAGUAACACGCGUGUAACCUGUCCUUGUCUGUGGGAUAACUUCAGGAAACUGGGGCUAAAACCGGAUAGGAGCUCCUGCUGCAUGGUGGGGGUUGGAAAGUUUCGGCGGUUGGGGAUGGACUCGAGGCUUAUCAGCUUGUUGGUGGGGUAGUGGCUGACCAAGGCUUUGACGGGUAGCCGGCCUGAGAGGGUGACCGGCCACAUUGGGACUGAGAUACGGCCCAGACCCCUACGUGACGCAGCGGUGGGGAAUAUUGCACAAUGGGCGGAAGCCUGAUGCAGCAACGCCGCGUUCGGAAUGACGGCCUUCGGGUUGUAAACCGAUUUCGCCUGUGACGAAGCGUGAGUGACGGUAAUUGGUAAAGAAGCACCGGCUAACUACGUG
RNAcentral lists this ribosomal RNA (468 nucleotides) under uncultured bacterium. RNAcentral's name for it is "partial 16S ribosomal RNA". It matches the Rfam family "Bacterial small subunit ribosomal RNA", at positions 28 to 507 of the family's 1533-position model. The record is from RNAcentral.